GUGCUAUUUAGUUAGUUGAUCUACCAUCUAACAUUUAUUAAGUAUUUAUGUGCUAGGAACUGUGGACAAGAGAAUACAAAAAGAGCCAUUGCACAGUGCCAAAGAAGCACAAAGCUAAAUUGCAUAGUGCCAAUUGAGCACAAGGUCAAAGAUACCAACCAAUCCUGAUGGGGUGGAUGAAAAUUUUGAGCCAUGACAAGAGGACAUGAACAUGUUUGGAGUUCGAGGUUGCGGCUGUUCAACAUGUGUUAAAGAGAAGAGAAAAAUGAGGUCGAAAGCUUUGGCUCUGUCCAUAGCCACAUGGCUAUAUCAAAGGGAAGAUUUCAAUCUAUUUCUUUGCGGACUUGAUGCCCAGAACUCUUCUGCCAUACUAUGUUCUUCUCCUGUUUAGGUGGUAGGUUUAUCUUCAAACUAGGCAAUUUCCACACACGACAAAAGGAGACUCAAAUGAAAUUACUGAAGUGAAAUCACAGAUCUUCUAUCUUCUAUGGUUGAGAUAAAAGAUAAAUGAAGAAGUGAAGAGUCAGAGUACGUGAUGUCCAAUUUGAAUAUUUUUGAUUACUUUAAUGGCCGAAACAUGGAGUGAUCAAUUAAUGGUCAAUUGGGUUACAUCUUUACUGUAAGGAAUUGCCUUAAUAAACAACUCAUGGCCAU
This 654-nucleotide long non-coding RNA is filed under the name Monodelphis domestica (gray short-tailed opossum). RNAcentral's name for it is "lncRNA (ENSMODG00000036539.1)". The record is from RNAcentral. Lineage: Eukaryota; Metazoa; Chordata; Mammalia; Didelphimorphia; Didelphidae.